This 821-nucleotide ribosomal RNA is filed under the name uncultured fungus. RNAcentral describes it as "eukaryotic LSU rRNA". It matches the Rfam family "Eukaryotic large subunit ribosomal RNA", at positions 30 to 821 of the family's 3401-position model. Lineage: Eukaryota; Fungi. The record is from RNAcentral.
GAACUUAAGCAUAUCAAUAAGCGGAGGAAAAGAAACUAACAAGGAUUCCCCUAGUAACUGCGAGUGAAGCGGGAAAAGCUCAAAUUUAAAAUCUGGUGGUCCCGAGUUGGCUGCCCGAGUUGUAAUCUAGAGAAGUGCUUUCCGCGCUGGACCGUGUACAAGUCUCUUGGAACGGAGCGUCGUAGAGGGUGACAAUCCCGUCUUUGACACGGACUGCCAGGGCUUAUGUGAUGCGCUCUCGAAGAGUCGAGUUGUUUGGGAAUGCAGCUCAAAAUGGGUGGUAAAUUCCAUCUAAAGCUAAAUAUGGGCGAGAGACCGAUAGCGAACAAGUACCGUGAGGGAAAGAUGAAAAGAACUUUGAAAAGGGAGUUAAACAGUACGUGAAAUUGUUGAAAGGGAAACGAUUCAAGUCAGUCGCGUUGGCCGGUAAUCAACCCUUGCGAAGGCGGGGGCUUACUUUCCGUCUGACGGGUCAGCAUCAAUUUUGACCGUCAGAUAAAGGUUUGGGGAACGUGGCAUCUUCGGAUGUGUUAUAGCCCCUUGUCAGAUGUGACGGUUGGGAUUGAGGAACUUGGCACGCCCGCAAAGGGUCGGGGCUUUUUGCCCACGUAACGUGCUUUGGAUGCUGGCAUAAUGGCUUGAACCGACCCGUCUUGAAACACGGACCAAGGAGUCUAACAUGCCUGCGAGUGUUUGGGUGGCAAACUCGAGCGCGAAGUGAAAGUGAAACUUGUCGAGAUCUCUGUCGUGGGGAGCACCGACGCCCGGACCUGACCUUUUGUGAAGGAUCCGCGGUUGAGCAUGCAUGUUGGGACCCGAAA